CCACCACAGAGGAAAAAAGUAUCCCUGCUGGAGUACCGAAAACGGAAACAAGAAGCUAAGGAAAAUUCUGCUGGUGGGGGAGGUGACUCUGCACAGAGCAAAAGCAAGUCUGCAGGAGCUGGGCAAGGCAGCAGUAACUCCGUUUCCGACACUGGUGCCCAUGGUGUGCAGGGAUCCUCAGCCCGAACUCCAUCUUCCCCUCACAAAAAAUUCUCCCCAUCUCAUUCCUCUAUGUCCCAUUUGGAGGCGGUAAGCCCAUCAGAUUCCAGAGGCACUUCUUCAUCUCACUGCAGACCUCAAGAGAAUAUCAGCAGUAGGUGGAUGGUUCCCACAUCAGUAGAACGACUCCGAGAAGGAGGGAGCAUCCCCAAGGUCCUCCGAAGCAGCGUGAGGGUGGCCCAAAAGGGAGAGCCCUCUCCCACAUGGGAGAGUAACAUCACAGAGAAAGACUCAGACCCUGCAGAUGGAGAAGGCCCAGAGACAUUAAGCUCAGCACUCUCUAAAGGAGCAACAGUUUACAGCCCUUCCAGAUACAGCUACCAGCUCCUGCAGUGUGAUAGUCCUCGGACAGAAUCACAAAGCCUCCUUCAGCAGAGUUCCUCCCCCUUCAGAGGACAUCCUACACAGUCUCCAGGAUACAGUUAUCGAACUACUGCACUGAGACCUGGAAACCCCCCCUCUCACGGUUCUUCAGAAUCAUCCCUCUCUUCCACGUCCUAUUCCAGCCCCGCCCACCCUGUGUCCACAGACUCGUUGGCCCCAUUUACGGGGACACCAGGGUAUUUUAGCAGCCAGCCACAUUCUGGAAACAGCACUGGCAGCAAUCUUCCAAGGAGGAGCUGCCCUUCUAGUGCUGCUAGCCCUACCCUGCAGGGACCCUCAGACUCGCCAACCUCAGAUUCAGUUUCUCAGUCCAGCACAGGAACUCUGAGUUCCACCUCCUUUCCUCAGAACUCUAGGUCGUCAUUGCCAUCAGACUUACGGACUAUCAGUCUGCCCAGUGCUGGGCAGUCAGCUGUCUACCAGGCCUCCAGGGUAUCUGCGGUUUCCAAUUCACAGCACUACCCACACCGUGGGAGUGGGGGUGUGCACCAGUACCGACUCCAGCCACUGCAAGGGUCAGGAGUCAAGACUCAGACGGGACUUUCCUAGGGCUUCUGGAUUUGGGCAAACAGAACUGAAUGAGCCCAUAGCUGCUUCCUUCCAGCUGCCUCUGGAACCUAGGCCGAGCAUAUUGCUGAGGAACGGGGGGUACAAGGUGCCAGAGGAUUGGGUCUGGUGGACAAGAAACAAGACUUGUGGUCACAAUUGGCCUCUGGCCUUGGAGAAAGCUGUAAAUCUUGUCUGAAGCAGAGACUAUAAAGAAGUUUCUCCCUGCUGUCAAGGGUACAUUGUUGACAAGCAAAUGGUGUUUCGGUUAGUAACGGUUCUAAGUG
RNAcentral lists this long non-coding RNA (1436 nucleotides) under Homo sapiens (human). RNAcentral's name for it is "long non-coding RNA NONHSAT193446.1". Lineage: Eukaryota; Metazoa; Chordata; Mammalia; Primates; Hominidae. The record is from RNAcentral.